UAGGGAAUCUUCCGCAAUGGACGCAAGUCUGACGGAGCAACGCCGCGUGAGUGAUGAAGGUUUUCGGAUCGUAAAACUCUGUUGCGAGGGAAGAAACCGUGCCAGCUAACUACUGGCACCUUGACGGUACCUCGCCAGAAAGCCACGGCUAACUACGUGCCAGCAGCCGCGGUAAUACGUAGGUGGCAAGCGUUGUCCGGAAUUAUUGGGCGUAAAGCGCGCGCAGGCGGUCCCUUAAGUCUGAUGUGAAAGCCCACGGCUCAACCGUGGAGGGUCAUUGGAAACUGGGGGACUUGAGUGCAGAAGAGGAAAGUGGAAUUCCAUGUGUAGCGGUGAAAUGCGUAGAGAUGUGGAGGAACACCAGUGGCGAAGGCGACUUUCUGGUCUGUAACUGACGCUGAGGCGCGAAAGCGUGGGGAGCAAACAGG
RNAcentral lists this ribosomal RNA (428 nucleotides) under uncultured bacterium. RNAcentral's name for it is "bacterial SSU rRNA". It matches the Rfam family "Bacterial small subunit ribosomal RNA", at positions 355 to 776 of the family's 1533-position model. The record is from RNAcentral.